This is a long non-coding RNA of Silurus meridionalis, 490 nucleotides long. RefSeq lists it as uncharacterized. The transcript is spliced from 3 exons. NCBI's taxonomy places the organism in Eukaryota, Metazoa, Chordata, Actinopteri, Siluriformes, Siluridae. The record is from RefSeq and is a predicted model, not a curated record.
GAGAAGAGAAGAGAAGAGAAGAGAAGAGAAGAGAAGAGAAGAGAAGAGAAGAGAAGUAUAUACACAGUCUGUAUUUGACCUCCUGAUGACCAAAAUUAAAGGAAGGAAUAACAUGGACAGAAGAAAAGAGAUGAAGAUGAAGGAGAAAAGAGAUGAGCACAGACAAUGGGAGAAAGGGAAAAAAUAAGGCAAAGAGAAGAAAAGAGAAGAGAAGAAAUGAGAAGAUGUAUGUAUAAUAUAUAACACUGUCUGGGUUCAACCUCCUGAUGAGAACAAUGUGUCCUGAUGUGCAGCCAUUAGCAAUUUCCAGAAGUAAAGGAUUAUCACAGAAGUUAAAGGCAUCUCUUCAAACCUGCUUUAGGAGAGCGUUUGUUCUCCUACACAUGACCUAACAGAUGGAUUUUAUUGGCCAGAGCCACCCUGAUUGACAGGAUGUUCCACUAGAUUUCAGAGCGUGCUUGUGGAUAUUUGUGUUCAUCAUCCACAAGGG